Molecule: ribosomal RNA, 468 nt
Filed under: uncultured bacterium
Lineage: Bacteria
Description: partial 16S ribosomal RNA
Rfam family: Bacterial small subunit ribosomal RNA
Source: RNAcentral
GACGAACGCUGGCGGCGCGCCUAACACAUGCAAGUCGAACGGAGCUGAGAGAAGCUUGCUUUUCUUAGCUUAGUGGCGAACGGGUGAGUAACGCGUGAGUAACCUGCCCUGGAGUGGGGGACAACAGUUGGAAACGACUGCUAAUACCGCAUAAGCCCACGAUCCGGCAUCGGCUUGAGGGAAAAGGAUUUAUUCGCUUCAGGAUGGACUCGCGUCCAAUUAGCUAGUUGGUGAGGUAACGGCCCACCAAGGCGACGAAUGGUAGCCGGACUGAGAGGUUGAACCGCCACAUUGGGACUGAGACACGGCCCAGACUCCUACGGGAGGCAGCAGUGGGGGAUAUUGCACAAUGGGGGAAACCCUGAUGCAGCGACGCCGCGUGGAGGAAGAAGGUUUUCGGAUUGUAAACUCCUGUCGUUAGGGACGAUAAUGACGGUACCUAACAAGAAAGCACCGGCUAACUACGUG